AGGAUUAACGCUGGCGGCGUGCCUAACACAUGCAAGUCGAACGAGGUAGCAAUACCUAGUGGCAGACGGGUGAGUAACGCGUGGUCAACCUACCGUUGAGUGGGGGAUAACUAGCCGAAAGGUUAGCUAAUACCGCAUACGAGUCUCGGGGGCAUCCCUGGGCCUUAAAAGGAGCAAUCCGCUCGAUGACGGGACCGCGUCCCAUUAGCUAGAUGGUGGGGUAAUGGCCUACCAUGGCUCCGAUGGGUAGCUGGUUUGAGAGAGCGACCAGCCACACUGGGACUGAGAAACGGCCCAGACUCCUACGGGAGGCAGCAGUGAGGAAUUUUCCGCAAUGGGCGAAAGCCUGACGGAGCGACGCCGCGUGUGGGAAGAAGGCCUUCGGGUCGUAAACCACUGUCGAAGGGGACGAUAAUGACGGUACCUUGGAGGAGCCCGGCUAACUACGCGCCAGCAGCCGC
This 461-nucleotide ribosomal RNA is filed under the name uncultured bacterium. RNAcentral's name for it is "SSU rRNA". It matches the Rfam family "Bacterial small subunit ribosomal RNA", at positions 26 to 518 of the family's 1533-position model. The record is from RNAcentral.